UAAUAUCUAUUGUCUAUCAACAAAGUUUGAAAUAGCUAUAUUGUCAGUUACUACAGCGAUAGCAGUGCUGGCAAAUCACAUUUUUAACUCAGAAAAGUUAGCAUUCCUUUCCAACUGGCAUGUGGUUUUAACGUUGACCCUAACAGUAUUUUGUUUCAGGCUUAAAACUAAAUGCAGUGCCGCUAUUGUAAAUUUACACAUCUGCAGCAAGACAUCCUGCUUACUGUAAGCACUACAGGCUUCAUCAUUGGCAAGCAGACCACAGAUCUAACUACUUAUAGACGGUCUGCUGUUCUUCAUGGUCUUCCCCUGUACUUAAGAGAGCCAUCUGCAAUUUCAAAGACUAUUAAGGAUACUGACUGAAGCACUGGGGCCACACACAAAAGCCAUGAACAUGGGGAUCCUGGAAGUACUGACAGUUCUACCAACUCAGGACCAUAUCCCACAGUGGUCAAUGUGGCUGUAGUACUGGAGGAGGAAGUUGUCAUGGACAAUCUGGGAGACUUCCCAAAUGCCCUCAUGAUGCUCUUUGGUCUGCUUUAUGCUCUAAAUAUGGAGUACCCUAAGGACUUAAGGUACACAUUCGAGGCAGUCCAGACGAUUCUCUUAAACCUGGGGAAAAGUGCACAGCAAGGAUACAGUCCUUGAAGAAAGAGUUAUUACAGGUGUAAUGGUCAUUACAGUACAUGUUAAUUGCCAGUCAUUGAGGUAUUUUGAGGUAUCAAAGGUUUCAUGCAAAUGUUUCUGUUAAAUGGCAGUGACUUUUUGGGGGCCAAGCAGCGAAGCUGCGAAGGCACCCAUUGUGUUUCUAUGAU
Molecule: long non-coding RNA, 815 nt
Organism: Alosa sapidissima (American shad)
Lineage: Eukaryota; Metazoa; Chordata; Actinopteri; Clupeiformes; Clupeidae
Exons: 4
Source: RefSeq, a predicted model, not a curated record